CCAGGCUGUUGUCUAUUAUCAGCAAUACUGCUUUUACGACUUUGGACUACACUUCCCACAAGGCACUGCGGGUUGCUUAUCCGUCUCCCUCGCACAAACCUGGCCGCCUCUUGUGAUUUGGGGUUUCUUAGAGUAGAUUGUUGUCACUUGGACCCAAAUAAGCUCACACCUGGACUUGUCAUUUUUAAGCCUGAUGUCAUCUUCUUAUUGGAGCAAGGGAAAGAGCGAUGGAUGGUUACAAAUUAUAUGACACAUCCUUGGCACCCAGACUUGAAGACAAAGUGCGAGAGAGUUCCCGGGAAAGGGCUCUUUGAAUAGAGUCAUUCAAAUGGGAGGUAACGGGAAGCCAGCAGCACCGUGACUUUCAGGACCCUCACCUCACAGAUGCCUGGGCGUGCAGAGACCGCUGUGAGAGACAGCGCACAAGUCAGGAGUGUCAUUUCAAGCAAGUGGAAACCCCCGGAAAGUGUCCCUGCUCUCCAGCGUCACACACCGCAUGGAAGCGGCAGGACUGCAGUAGAGAAAGCGACCUGACCGGAUGCAGUGAGCUCGAGGAAGCGGGGAAGCGUUUAGCUGUGGCUUGAGCCUUACUCAGCAACUCAGCAGUUGAAAAGCCCUUUGAGUGUAAGGGGUGUGGGAGAGCUUUUGCUCAGGCCUCGCACCUUGUCCAGCAUCAGAGAAU
Molecule: long non-coding RNA, 682 nt
Filed under: Mus spicilegus (steppe mouse)
Lineage: Eukaryota; Metazoa; Chordata; Mammalia; Rodentia; Muridae
Description: lncRNA (ENSMSIG00000004100.1)
Source: RNAcentral